RNAcentral lists this unclassified non-coding RNA (319 nucleotides) under plant metagenome. RNAcentral describes it as "partial contains small subunit ribosomal RNA, internal transcribed spacer 1, and 5.8S ribosomal RNA". The record is from RNAcentral.
UUUCCGUAGGUGAACCUGCGGAAGGAUCAUUAAGGAGAGGUGGGAGGUGGUGGUGGGGAGGGCGAGAGUGGAAUUUCUGCUCUCUCCUCCCUCCCACACACGCACACACAUGGACCCGAGAUGUCGGAGGCUGGGGCGGGGUGUGGGGUGGAUGCAGUGCGUGGAUGUGCAGUGCGUGGAUGUGCAGUGCACACUUACACAUUGCACAUCCAUGCAGUGCAUGCACCGCACGUGCCGUCGCGGCAAACAUUCAUGCUUGCUUUUGAAUCUAAAAAUAGAGACAUACAUACAACUUUUAACAAUGGAUCUCUUGGCUCUU